GCUCCUGUGGCGUAGCUGGUAGCGCAACUGAUUCGUAAUCAGUAGGUCAGGGGUUCAAAUCCCCUCGGGAGCACCA
Molecule: transfer RNA, 76 nt
Filed under: Clostridium tepidiprofundi DSM 19306
Lineage: Bacteria; Bacillati; Bacillota; Clostridia; Eubacteriales; Clostridiaceae
Description: tRNA-Thr
Rfam family: tRNA
About the family: Transfer RNA (tRNA) molecules are approximately 80 nucleotides in length.
Source: RNAcentral